GUGCAUCAGCUCCCGAUAUUACACUAAUGAUAUUUAUUAUCGUAGCAGGGUCUCCUGUGUACGGUACGUUGGGCGGGCGCAUAAGAGUUAUCUGAUAGCUGAUGGUAUUUUCAACGAAGUGAACUGUUGUUCCCGGGACUGGAAUGUAUCUCCCUUCCUGAAUACUUACACUAGUGUUUAUGUCUUAUUUCCUCAGCCUGGAGAUGGCUCGGAUCUGCUGGUUUUCUGUGUGCAUUUGCUAUUUGGUCGACCAACUGACUUACAGGGGAGUUCCAUCGUUCGACGCCUCAAGAAAGUCAGUUACAUGUUGAUCUCCACCCGCCGUUAGUGGCUUGUAGCGGCGUCUCAAAUGCCGCUGGUCUUAUCUAAAACUUUCAAUUUAGGAGCAAGCUUGUCUUCUGUCAGCAGAAGACAAAACUUAAGUAUCGAUAAUGGAAUAUUCGAGUAUUUG
RNAcentral lists this small RNA (451 nucleotides) under Histoplasma capsulatum. Its description in RNAcentral is "hypothetical RNA". RNAcentral also lists the same sequence under 1 other name. Lineage: Eukaryota; Fungi; Ascomycota; Eurotiomycetes; Onygenales; Ajellomycetaceae. The record is from RNAcentral.